CGGGACACGUGGUAUCCUGUCUGAAUAUGGGGGGACCAUCCUCCAAGGCUAAAUACUCCUGACUGACCGAUAGUGAACCAGUACCGUGAGGGAAAGGCGAAAAGAACCCCGGCGAGGGGAGUGAAAAAGAACCUGAAACCGUGUACGUACAAGCAGUGGGAGCACGCUUAGGCGUGUGACUGCGUACCUUUUGUAUAAUGGGUCAGCGACUUAUAUUCUGUAGCAAGGUUAACCGAAUAGGGGAGCCGAAGGGAAACCGAGUCUUAACUGGGCGUUAAGUUGCAGGGUAUAGACCCGAAACCCGGUGAUCUAGCCAUGGGCAGGUUGAAGGUUGGGUAACACUAACUGGAGGACCGAACCGACUAAUGUUGAAAAAUUAGCGGAUGACUUGUGGCUGGGGGUGAAAGGCCAAUCAAACCGGGAGAUAGCUGGUUCUCCCCGAAAGCUAUUUAGGUAGCGCCUCGUGAAUUCAUCUCCGGGGGUAGAGCACUGUUUCGGCAAGGGGGUCAUCCCGACUUACCAACCCGAUGCAAACUGCGAAUACCGGAGAAUGUUAUCACGGGAGACACACGGCGGGUGCUAACGUCCGUCGUGAAGAGGGAAACAACCCAGACCGCCAGCUAAGGUCCCAAAGUCAUGGUUAAGUGGGAAACGAUGUGGGAAGGCCCAGACAGCCAGGAUGUUGGCUUAGAAGCAGCCAUCAUUUAAAGAAAGCGUAAUAGCUCACUGGUCGAGUCGGCCUGCGCGGAAGAUGUAACGGGGCUAAACCAUGCACCGAAGCUGCGGCAGCGACGCUGAUGCGUUGUUGGGUAGGGGAGCGUUCUGUAAGCCUGUGAAGGUGUGCUGUGAGGCAUGCUGGAGGUAUCAGAAGUGCGAAUGCUGACAUAAGUAACGAUAAAGCGGGUGAAAAGCCCGCUCGCCGGAAGACCAAGGGUUCCUGUCCAACGUUAAUCGGGGCAGGGUGAGUCGACCCCUAAGGCGAGGCCGAAAGGCGUAGUCGAUGGGAAACAGGUUAAUAUUCCUGUACUUGGUGUUACUGCGAAGGGGGGACGGAGAAGGCUAUGUUGGCCGGGCGACGGUUGUCCCGGUUUAAGCGUGUAGGCUGGUUUUCCAGGCAAAUCCGGAAAAUCAAGGCUGAGGCGUGAUGACGAGGCACUACGGUGCUGAAGCAACAAAUGCCCUGCUUCCAGGAAAAGCCUCUAAGCAUCAGGUAACAUCAAAUCGUACCCCAAACCGACACAGGUGGUCAGGUAGAGAAUACCAAGGCGCUUGAGAGAACUCGGGUGAAGGAACUAGGCAAAAUGGUGCCGUAACUUCGGGAGAAGGCACGCUGAUAUGUAGGUGAAGCGACUUGCUCGUGGAGCUGAAAUCAGUCGAAGAUACCAGCUGGCUGCAACUGUUUAUUAAAAACACAGCACUGUGCAAACACGAAAGUGGACGUAUACGGUGUGACGCCUGCCCGGUGCCGGAAGGUUAAUUGAUGGGGUCAGCGCAAGCGAAGCUCUUGAUCGAAGCCCCGGUAAACGGCGGCCGUAACUAUAACGGUCCUAAGGUAGCGAAAUUCCUUGUCGGGUAAGUUCCGACCUGCACGAAUGGCGUAAUGAUGGCCAGGCUGUCUCCACCCGAGACUCAGUGAAAUUGAACUCGCUGUGAAGAUGCAGUGUACCCGCGGCAAGACGGAAAGACCCCGUGAACCUUUACUAUAGCUUGACACUGAACAUUGAGCCUUGAUGUGUAGGAUAGGUGGGAGGCUUUGAAGUGUGGACGCCAGUCUGCAUGGAGCCGGCCUUGAAAUACCACCCUUUAAUGUUUGAUGUUCUAACGUUGACCCGUGAUCCGGGUUGCGGACAGUGUCUGGUGGGUAGUUUGACUGGGGCGGUCUCCUCCUAAAGAGUAACGGAGGAGCACGAAGGUUGGCUAAUCCUGGUCGGACAUCAGGAGGUUAGUGCAAUGGCAUAAGCCAGCUUGACUGCGAGCGUGACGGCGCGAGCAGGUGCGAAAGCAGGUCAUAGUGAUCCGGUGGUUCUGAAUGGAAGGGCCAUCGCUCAACGGAUAAAAGGUACUCCGGGGAUAACAGGCUGAUACCGCCCAAGAGUUCAUAUCGACGGCGGUGUUUGGCACCUCGAUGUCGGCUCAUCACAUCCUGGGGCUGAAGUAGGUCCCAAGGGUAUGGCUGUUCGCCAUUUAAAGUGGUACGCGAGCUGGGUUUAGAACGUCGUGAGACAGUUCGGUCCCUAUCUGCCGUGGGCGCUGGAGAACUGAGGGGGGCUGCUCCUAGUACGAGAGGACCGGAGUGG
RNAcentral lists this ribosomal RNA (2297 nucleotides) under Escherichia coli. RNAcentral's name for it is "partial 23S ribosomal RNA". It matches the Rfam family "Bacterial large subunit ribosomal RNA", at positions 418 to 2700 of the family's 2925-position model. Lineage: Bacteria; Pseudomonadati; Pseudomonadota; Gammaproteobacteria; Enterobacterales; Enterobacteriaceae. The record is from RNAcentral.